GAUGAACGCUGGCGGCGUGCCUAAUACAUGCAAGUCGAGCGAACAGAUGAGGAGCUUGCUCCUCUGACGUUAGCGGCGGACGGGUGAGUAACACGUGGAUAACCUACCUAUAAGACUGGGAUAACUUCGGGAAACCGGAGCUAAUACCGGAUAAUAUAUUGAACCGCAUGGUUCAAUAGUGAAAGACGGUUUUGCUGUCACUUAUAGAUGGAUCCGCGCCGCAUUAGCUAGUUGGUAAGGUAACGGCUUACCAAGGCAACGAUGCGUAGCCGACCUGAGAGGGUGAUCGGCCACACUGGAACUGAGACACGGUCCAGACUCCUACGGGAGGCAGCAGUAGGGAAUCUUCCGCAAUGGGCGAAAGCCUGACGGAGCAACGCCGCGUGAGUGAUGAAGGUCUUCGGAUCGUAAAACUCUGUCAUUAGGGAAGAACAAAUGUGUAAGUAACUAUGCACGUCUUGACGGUACCUAAUCAGAAAGCCACGGCUAACUACGUG
This 497-nucleotide ribosomal RNA is filed under the name uncultured bacterium. RNAcentral's name for it is "partial 16S ribosomal RNA". It matches the Rfam family "Bacterial small subunit ribosomal RNA", at positions 28 to 507 of the family's 1533-position model. The record is from RNAcentral.